UUACAAUGUCCAUUGAUUAAG
Molecule: microRNA, 21 nt
Filed under: Populus trichocarpa (black cottonwood)
Lineage: Eukaryota; Viridiplantae; Streptophyta; Magnoliopsida; Malpighiales; Salicaceae
Also listed under: 1 other name
Description: ptc-miR475c
Gene: ptc-miR475c
Source: miRBase by way of RNAcentral